GAAAAGUCUCAAAUGCUGCUGGCUGAAGGGAAAAAGGCAAUCAACUGGUGAUGAUUUAGGGCCUGACUAGCCAGGAUGGGAAAAGGCUCUCACCUCUCUUCCUCGUCACUGCCUCCUUUUCAGAUGCACUAGGGUGGCAGGCAGGAGGGUAGGAAGAACUGAAACCCAGGCCCCCUCCUUCUCGUCCGUGGUCUCAGGGACUACCUCUGGUAACAGCUUCCGGCAUAUCCUUCCAGAACGUCUCUUCAGAGGUGAGUAU
Molecule: long non-coding RNA, 259 nt
Filed under: Capra hircus (goat)
Lineage: Eukaryota; Metazoa; Chordata; Mammalia; Artiodactyla; Bovidae
Description: lncRNA (ENSCHIG00010002850.1)
Source: RNAcentral